This 459-nucleotide ribosomal RNA is filed under the name uncultured bacterium. Its description in RNAcentral is "partial 16S ribosomal RNA". It matches the Rfam family "Bacterial small subunit ribosomal RNA", at positions 338 to 795 of the family's 1533-position model. The record is from RNAcentral.
CCUACGGGAGGCAGCAGUGAGGAAUAUUGGUCAAUGGCCGGAAGGCUGAACCAGCCAAGCCGCGUGAAGGACGAAGGUGCCAAGCAUUGUAAACUUCUUUUGUCAAGGGACAAAAUCAGGCUCGAGAGCCUGACCGAGGGUACUUGAAGAAAAAGCAUCGGCUAACUCCGGGCCAGCAGCCGAGGUAAGAAGGAGGAUGCGAGCGUUAUCCGGAUUUAUUGGGUUUAAAGGGUGCGUAGGCGGGCUGUUAAGUCAGCGGUAAAAGCCCGGGGCUCAAACCCGGCGAGCCGUUGAAACUGGCUGUCUUGAGAUGUCGAGAGGUAUGCGGAAUGCGCAGUGUAGCGGUGAAAUGCUUAGAUAUUGCGCAGAACUCCGAUUGCGAAGGCAGCAUACCGGCGGCGAUCUGACGCUGAUGCACGAAAGCGUGGGUAUCAAACAGGAUUAGAUACCCGAGUAGUC